Molecule: ribosomal RNA, 810 nt
Filed under: Triticum aestivum (bread wheat)
Lineage: Eukaryota; Viridiplantae; Streptophyta; Magnoliopsida; Poales; Poaceae
Description: partial small subunit ribosomal RNA
Source: RNAcentral
AUGGCUGACCCAAGCAGCACGUGCGCGCCUCCUUCUUCUUCUUCCACGUCGCCGCGGCUCAGCGCCGGCGUCGUCAACUUCUUGGCGCGCCGUGCCAUGAACACGCACCACCGAGCAGCAGCAGCAGCAGCAUUUCCCCUCCACUCGCCGGGCUCCUCCACCGGCUCCCCCGACUCCGUGCCGUGGAGCAGCUGCCACCACCACCACGCCCCGCCCACGCCGCCCCUGCCGCCGUUCGACACCGACGAGAAGCUCCUGCUCAACACGCUCUCCCAGCACGAGGCAGCGGCGGCGCCGCUGAAGCAAGAGGCAACGGACGCCGAGGUGGCGCCCGGCGUGGGCGGCGGGCGCGCGUUCCGCGGCGUGCGGAAGCGGCCUUGGGGCAAGUACGCGGCGGAGAUCCGGGACUCGACGCGGAAUGGCGUCAGGGUUUGGCUGGGCACGUUCGAGAGCCCGGAGGCGGCGGCGCUGGCCUACGACCAGGCGGCCUUCGCCAUGCGCGGCUGCGCCGCCGUCCUCAACUUCCCCGCCGACCAGGUCCGCCGCUCGCUCGAGGGCGCGGGGGAAGACGUGCGCGGCCGCGCCCACGGGGUGUCGCCCGUGCUGGCGCUCAAGCGGCGGCACUCCAUGCGGAGCCGAAAGGCCACGGCGUCGUCGCCGUGCCGCAAGGCCGCCCGUGGCCGGCCGGAGGGCGUGGUGAUGGAGCUGGAGGACCUUGGCGCGGAGUACCUCGAGGAACUGCUCGGCGCCGCCGACGACAUGACGGCCUCGGCCUACGACUCAUGGUGCUCGGGCCAUCAUUCCAUCUGA